AAGCAGGGGAUCGUAAGACCUUGCGCUUUUGGAGUGGCCGAUGCCUGAUUAGCUAGUUGGUGGGGUAAAGGCCUACCAAGGCGACGAUCAGUAGUUGGUCUGAGAGGACGACCAGCCACACUGGGACUGAGACACGGCCCAGACUCCUACGGGAGGCAGCAGUGGGGAAUUUUGGACAAUGGGCGAAAGCCUGAUCCAGCAAUGCCGCGUGAGUGAAGAAGGCCUUCGGGUUGUAAAGCUCUUUCAGCCGGGAAGAAAAGGUUGCGACUAAUAAUCGCAAUUCAUGACGGUACCGAAAGAAGAAGCACCGGCUAACUACGUGCCAGCAGCCGCGGUAAUACGUAGGGUGCGAGCGUUAAUCGGAAUUACUGGGCGUAAAGGGUGCGCAGGCGGUUUUGUAAGUCAGAUGUGAAAUCCCCGGGCUUAACCUGGGAACUGCGUUUGAAACUACAAAGCUUAG
Molecule: ribosomal RNA, 460 nt
Filed under: uncultured ammonia-oxidizing beta proteobacterium
Lineage: Bacteria; Pseudomonadati; Pseudomonadota; Betaproteobacteria
Description: bacterial SSU rRNA
Rfam family: Bacterial small subunit ribosomal RNA
Source: RNAcentral